CCCUGGUUAGAUCAGUUGGUAGAGAGAUCCACCUGUAAUGGAGAGGUCCCAGGUUCGAUACCUGGACCAGGCG
RNAcentral lists this transfer RNA (73 nucleotides) under Ixodes scapularis (black-legged tick). It matches the Rfam family "tRNA". Rfam says of the family: Transfer RNA (tRNA) molecules are approximately 80 nucleotides in length. Their secondary structure includes four short double-helical elements and three loops (D, anti-codon, and T loops). Lineage: Eukaryota; Metazoa; Arthropoda; Arachnida; Ixodida; Ixodidae. The record is from Rfam by way of RNAcentral.